CUAAGUAGUUACUUAGUCUCUACCUCUCAAUCCCCUUCUACUCUACAACACCAACUCUACACAUGAAUUAGACUUUUGGCAUCAUUGGUCAUGUUUUUAAGAGAAGUGGCCAGGAGUCGAGAGGUGGGGAGGCUCCUCUGGCUGACAAACACCAGAGGUGUCUUUCUGCAGAAGGCAGCAUGAGAGCUGGAUCCGGCUUUAGACUUUAAACAGAGAUGCAUGGAGGGCCCUGCAGGCAGGGAAAGCAAUGGUAGUAUGACAACAGCAGUUGCUAGAAAGCAAAUGCUGGGCCCUUUACAGCCUAUUUUUGGGUAAGUAGUGAGACAUAAGCUUAGAAGGUGAUACGGUUUGACUGUGACCCCACUCAAAUCUCAUCUUGAAUUGUAGCUCCCACAAUUCCCAUGUGUCAUGGGAGGCACCUGGUGGAAGGUAAUUGAAUCAUGGGGGCAGGUCUUUCCUGUGCUGUUCUCAUGAUAGUGAAUAAGUCUCACAAGAUUUGAUGGUUUGAUAAAGGGGAGUUUCCCUGCCCAAGCUCUCUCUUAUCUGCCACCAUAUAAGAUGUGCCUUUUGCUUUCUGCCAUGAUCGUGAGGCCUCCCCGGCCGCAUGGAACUGUGAGUCCACUAAACCUCUUUUCCUUUAUAAAUUACCCAGUCUCAGGUGAGUCUUUAUCAGCAGCAUGAGAACAGACUAAUACAGAAGGGUUGUUUUAUCAAAACAAAGCAUCUUUCUAAAAAUGGUGAUGUUCCCUGACCAACUUUUGAUGGUGGAGGAAUUAGGUUAUUGGAAAGCACUCCAUAAUGAAACUGCCAGGCACUUUCCUUAGUUUUCACUGGCUUGUAGGAGCUGGUUGGCUCCACCAAACACUAGGCCUAGAACAUUCUUGUGCUAACAGAACCCCUUGCUUCACCUGACUACAUUUGUUAUUUCCUUAUUUAUUAUAUUCAUGGUCAAGAUACUGUGGUUGGGUCUUGUGUGUAUGCAUGUGCACUCAUGGGAAAGCGGAAUUAUGCAGGAAAAAAUCUAUACUUUCUAAGCAAUUUAUAACUGCAAAAUAGUAGAUACGAAACAUUAAUUUCAUCAUUCCCAGAUGAUUAGAUAAAUGGUAAUUCACUGUUAGGCCUUUAGGUUAUUUUUAGCUGAAGUAACAACGUGGCUUCUUUAGUGGAUACCCUUGAAUAUCUGGUGGCUUUGAUUUCUCUAUUCCACAAAUAGGGGAUUCAGAAAUUUGUGACAGCACAACAAUCCCACAUAAGGUGGCAUCAGGUACGCUGUCUCUCAGAGGCUACUUGUGGGGCAGGGGGAUGGAAUUAAAUCCUCCAUUCAGGGCGUGCAGUGGUCACCCACAAGCUUGUGGCUUAUAGGUCAAGUCACCCUGAGCCAUAGUUACCUCAUCGGUAAUACAUGGGAUUGGCUCUGUGACUUCCAGCUCUCUCAGGUCUGUACCUCUGUGGCCCCAUCUGAAUGACGAAGUCUAUUCUUGGCUGCUGGAUGGAGAGUAGAAACUUCCUGCUCAUGUCUUACUUGUCCUGUUUUGGAAGGACUCCAGAUUUGUAAAUCCCUUAAAGGAAGUACAUGAUUUUCAGAAAUAUCCUCAGGGAGGCCCUGAAUUCUAGCCUAAUUUUUCCAUUGCAGCUAUAAGCAUGUAGCCUGAAUUGGCUCCUGCAAUCUCAUAGAUGUCUCCUCCCCAAACAUGCUCACAGAGGCAAAGGAUGGAAGAUAUGGAUCCAGGGUGAUUUCCCUUUGGUGUUUGCUGGCUCUGCAGCGCUCGCUAGCCCUCUGUUCCGGGCCGCUGUUUGAUUUGGCCUUUGUUGGCGAGGCUCCGGGCGGUGGGGCAGAGCUGCCAUUCUGUAUGCAGCCCGAGAGAGUCAACAUUGAAAAGUCUGUUUGGUUUUUGGCCUCCACCUGUUGGAAGCUCUGUAACUGUUGCCAUUCAUAAUAAGGAAGAAGGAACAGCAGAGGGAUUCCUGUAUUAGAACAAUGAAUGUUUUCACUGUUCCUCUAAGGGGGCCAAUAAUAGGAACUGGGCUUAAGUUAGAGUUGAAAGCAGCAAGUGAACAAGAAAAAACAAAGAAGUUACAGAUGCUAGGAGAAAGGAUGCGACAGAGCAUCAAGGUGACUCUGGAAGAGGGUACCUCGCUUCCUUGGAAGUGUCCCUGUGCCCUUCAAGUCAAUUUUCUACUCCACUCACCCCUGACACUGGCUCUUCCCUGCCCCACCCCAGAGGAGGCAGCAACUCACAGCACAAGCAUCUAAAUGUUACUUACUCCACCGGUCAGCCCAGACCCUUCAGCCAUUACCUAUUUUCUUGGUUCAUAGAGGAAACAGGGACUAUGAUCUGGGAGCUCUGCAUCCAUUUUCCUCCCACCACCUUGCUGCCAUCCUCACUCAUCUUUACCUCUUCCCCCUGCUUCUGAGACUUACGGGCUCCUCCUAAGCCCUUGUGCUCGCCAGUCCUUUCUGCCUCUUCUUAUACCAGGGCCAUUGACCCUUUCUCACUCACUCUUCAUUCUUUCUCUCUUCAUCAGAUUCUUUUUUUUUUUUUUUGAGACGGAGUCUCGCUCUGUAGCCCAGGCUGGAGUGCAGUGGCCGGAUCUCAGCUCACUGCAAGCUCUGCCUCCCGAGUAGCUGGGACUACAGGCUUCACCACCUCCGGCUAGUUUUUGUAUUUUUAGUAGAGACGGGGUUUCACCGUGUUAGCCAGGAUGGUCUCGAUUUCUUGACCUCGUGAUCCGCCCGUCUCGGCCUCCCAAAGUGCUGGGAUUAUAGGCUUGAGCCACCGCGCCCGGCCUCUUCAUCAGAUUCUUAACCUCAUCUACCAACCUCUUCCAGUUUCCUGCUUGGUUCUUCUGUUCCUCUCUCACACUAUUUGUCCCCUCUACUGCCAGCCUCCUUGAGAGUGGUACCUCCUUACUUCUCCAUUCCUCACUUUCAUUUAUUCCCAAACCAUUGUGUUGGGGCUUCCAGCAACUCAUCCAAAAAAAAAAAAAAAAAAAA
RNAcentral lists this long non-coding RNA (2995 nucleotides) under Macaca fascicularis (crab-eating macaque). RNAcentral's name for it is "lncRNA (ENSMFAG00000061145.1)". The record is from RNAcentral. Lineage: Eukaryota; Metazoa; Chordata; Mammalia; Primates; Cercopithecidae.